UUGCAUGUUGCCAUUCUUUGCAGGCCUUCCCCGAUGCCCACAGCUUUCCAAAGAUGGUGAAAAGCCAUGGCUGUCUCUCUUAGCACCUCGAAUGCAUCCCGAGUCCCAUGGACUUCUGUCCUGCUGUCUGCAGGCCAUGUACAUUUUACAAAAUCAAAGCAUGGCCACGUACAAUUUGAUAUUCCAUAGCCAGCAUCAGGAAGUACAAUCUUUCAGCUGUGUUUUUCUAGAGAACUACUCAUGUGUUUGUAGUUUUUGGCUGGGAGAUUAAAUAGGAAACCUUUCUGGUCUCCAUGCCACUGCUUUGCAACUGAAAGUGGCACUGUCUGCAGAGAGAUACAAGUCACGCUUUUCUUUCCUAAAAAGACUUGCAAACACCAUCCACCCCACCCUUAGAAACUCUGCAGUCCUUAAAGGAAACUUUAAAUCCUCCCUCAUAAAUGUCUCCAAAAUCAACACAACACUCCCUGGAGAAUCAGGAACUGGAAAGCAGGUCUGAAAGAAAAGGGUAAGGAUGUCUGGUGGCCAAACUGGCUGCAGGCUUCCAUAUCUGAGGGUGCUGAAUGGAUCCCUUCAUAGCUGACCUAUGGAAGAUGUUGCUCACAGGCUUGAAGUUGAAAAAAUAUCCUCUCAUCUGAACACCCAGUACAUUCAAGGAGGCUUUUUGCUUCAGAACAGGUAAUUCUACAAUGAAAUGAAACCUGUUCUUCCUCAGCUGAGCCAUGCCUGCAUUCCUAAUUCAUUGUAGGUUAAACUCUGUUAUCCUGAUUUGGGUUGUCUGUUAGAAAUAAGUAGGACUUCCUCAGAAAAGGUAUUGAUAAAAGACGCAGGUCUAGAACCAGGUAUACUAGACAA
Molecule: non-coding RNA, 855 nt
Organism: Cyanistes caeruleus (blue tit)
Lineage: Eukaryota; Metazoa; Chordata; Aves; Passeriformes; Paridae
Source: RefSeq, a predicted model, not a curated record